GACGAACGCUGGCGGCGUGCUUAACACAUGCAAGUCGAACGGAAAGGCCCUGCUUUUGUGGGGUGCUCGAGUGGCGAACGGGUGAGUAACACGUGAGUAACCUGCCCUUGACUUUGGGAUAACUUCAGGAAACUGGGGCUAAUACCGGAUAGGAGCUCCUGCUGCAUGGUGGGGUUGGAAAGUUUUGGCGGUUGGGGAUGGACCCGCGGCUUAUCAGCUUGUUGGUGGGGUAGUGGCUUACCAAGGCUUUGACGGGUAGCCGGCCUGAGAGGGUGACCGGCCACAUUGGGACUGAGAUACGGCCCAGACUCCUACGGGAGGCAGCAGUGGGGAAUAUUGCACAAUGGGCGGAAGCCUGAUGCAGCAACGCCGCGUGCGGGAUGACGGCCUUCGGGUUGUAAACCGCUUUCGCCUGUGACGAAGCGUGAGUGACGGUAAUGGGUAAAGAAGCACCGGCUAACUACGUG
RNAcentral lists this ribosomal RNA (467 nucleotides) under uncultured bacterium. Its description in RNAcentral is "partial 16S ribosomal RNA". It matches the Rfam family "Bacterial small subunit ribosomal RNA", at positions 28 to 507 of the family's 1533-position model. The record is from RNAcentral.